Molecule: long non-coding RNA, 533 nt
Filed under: Homo sapiens (human)
Lineage: Eukaryota; Metazoa; Chordata; Mammalia; Primates; Hominidae
Description: non-protein coding lnc-PDE2A-3:2
Source: RNAcentral
AGUCACCGGCCUGAGAAGGAGUGGCCUAUUAAGAGUCUCAAAGUCUACCUGGGAGUGAAGAAGAAACUCAGGCCACCCACCUGCUGGGGCUUCACAGUGGUGCAUGAGACAGAGAAACAUGAGAAGCAGCAGUGGUGAGUGAGCGCCUCAUCCUGAGAUCCCAGGCUGAGGAAAGAUGGUGGCACGUCCCCCUUCAUUGUGUCCCUCAUCACUGCCCAGAUCUGUGACCACUAGCAGACCCUGGGCUGGGAAGGCAGACACGGUGUUCCCUGCUCAGUCAGGCCUUUGGCAUCAUGUGGGUCCGCGUCCAACCCUGCAGGUACCUCUGCUGUGACACACAGAUGGAGCUCCGGGAGUGGUUCGCUACCUUUCUGUUUGUGCAGCAUGACGGCCUGGUGUGGCCCUCAGAGCCCUCACGCGUGUCCCGGGCAGUGCCUGAGGUCCGGCUGGGUAGUGUGUCACUGAUCCCCCUUCGAGGUAGUGAAAAUGAAAUGCGCCGGAGUGUGGCUGCCUUCACCGCGGACCCUCUGUCU